RNAcentral lists this ribosomal RNA (1207 nucleotides) under Ziziphus jujuba (common jujube). RNAcentral describes it as "bacterial SSU rRNA". It matches the Rfam family "Bacterial small subunit ribosomal RNA", at positions 8 to 1349 of the family's 1533-position model. The record is from RNAcentral. Lineage: Eukaryota; Viridiplantae; Streptophyta; Magnoliopsida; Rosales; Rhamnaceae.
AGAGUUCAAUCCUGGCUCAAGAUGAACGCUGAUGGCAUGCUUAACACAUGCAAGUUGGACGAGAAGUGGUGUUUCUAGUGGUAGAUGGGUGAGUAACGCGUAAGAACUUGCCCUUGGGAGGGGAACAAUAGCUGGAACGGAUUCUAAUACCCCAUAGGCUGAGGAGCAAAAGGAAGAAUCCACCCGAGGACAGGCUCGCGUCUGAUUAGCUAGUUGGUGAGGCAAUAGCUUACCAAGGAGAUGAUCAGUAGCUGGUCAAAGAGGAUGAUCAGCCACACUGGGACUGAGACACUGCCUAAACUCCUACGGGAGGUAGCAGUGGGGAGCUUUCCACAAUGGGCAAAAGCCUGACAAAGCAAUGCCGCAUAGGGGUAGAAGGCCUACGGGUCGUGAACUUUGUACCAGCUGCCACGGUAAUACAGAGGAUGCAAGCAUUAUCUGGAAUGAUUAGGCGUAAAGCAUCUAUAGGUGGCUUUUUAAGUCCACUGUCAAAUCCCAGGGCUCAACCCUAUAUAGGUGGUGGAAAAUACCAAGCUGGAGUACAGUAGGGGCAGACGAAAUUUUCAAUGGAGUGGUGAAAUGAAUAGAGAUCGAAAAGAACACCAACGAUGAAAGCAAUCUGCUGGGCUGACACUGACACUGAGAGACGAAAGCGAGGGGAGUGAAUGGGAUUGGAUAUCCGAAUAGUCCUAGCCAUAAAUGAUGGAUACUAGGCACUAUACGUAUCGACCCGUGCAGUGCUGUAGCUAACACGUUAAGUAUCCUGCCUUGGGAGUAUGUUUGCAAGAAUGAAACUCAAAAGAAUUGACGAGGGCCCACAUAAGUGAUGGAGCAUGUGGUUUAAUUCGAUGCAAAGCGAAGAACCUUACCAGGGCUUGACAUGGCACGAAUCCUCUUGAAAGAGAGUGGUGCCUUCGGGAAAGUGAGGAUGACGUCAAGUCAUCAUGCCCGUUAUGCCUUGGGUGACACACGUGCUACAAUGGCUUCGACAUCCAGGGGUCGCAGAACGACUGUAGAACCCUAUUCAAUAAAUGGAACGCCUUAGCUGUCCACUUUCAGGUUGGGUAGUAAAGGUUGAAGAAGGGCAAUCACUCAUUCUUAAAACCAGCAUUCUUAAGACUAAAGAGUCGGGUGGAAAAAGGGGGAAAGCUCUUUAUUCCUGGUUCUUUUCUAGCUAGAUCAUUCAGAACCAUAAGUAUCCUUAAUU